RNAcentral lists this non-coding RNA (73 nucleotides) under uncultured Phascolarctobacterium sp. RNAcentral's name for it is "Cyclic di-GMP-I riboswitch". It matches the Rfam family "c-di-GMP-I riboswitch aptamer", at positions 11 to 83 of the family's 87-position model. Rfam says of the family: GEMM was predicted in a large-scale screen for bacterial structured RNA regulatory elements. Genes associated with GEMM are involved in a diverse array of functions, including chemotaxis regulation, signal transduction, secretion and chitin. Lineage: Bacteria; Bacillati; Bacillota; Negativicutes; Acidaminococcales; Acidaminococcaceae. The record is from RNAcentral.
UUGGCAAACCUGGCGAAAGCCAGGGACGCAAAACUAAAGGGUCUAAGCCGUUAACGGUAUGACAGCCAGCUGC